UCCAAGCCAAGUCAAAACUCCUAUAUAACAAAAAGGCCCACCCCACCCCCUCACCCCCCUUCGAAAGCGCUCUACCGUCUUCACAUUCUAUUCACCUAUUAUAUAAAGAAGUAGCUACACCCUUAUUUCUUCAUCAACACUCUCACACAAUAACAACCACCACAGCAACACCAGAAAAAAAAGUCUAGUGAGAGAAUCUAGAGAGAGAGAGAGAAAAAAAAGAAUAUAGAAAAAUGGCGAGUACCACGCCAAAGAUGAGUGCAACUACAUCAAUGAAGAGCAUUUGUUUAUUUUUUGGUAUGAUGAUUUUGUUAACAAGUUCAUUGUUUAGUGCUGUUGAAUGUCGAGCUCUACGAUCUGACUCUACGAUCAGCAAAAAGAGUUGUGAACGAGCUGAGUCAAUUAUUUUCAAUAACUCGAGUGGGAGUGGUGCUGGUUCUGCUAUACGGAGCUUGAUGUUCAAAUUGGCUUCUGGACCUAGCAAAAGAGGUCGAGGCCAUUAGACAGUGCUAAAUUUUAAGUUUCAACCUUUUUUUUAUAUGUCCAGUUCUUUAAUUGUUUUAUAGUGAAUUAAGCCAUUAGUAUAUGGCCCAAAGGUGCAAUCAGUUUUUGUUGUUGGUGGUUUUCAUCUUUGAUAUAUAGAGUGGAUAUUAUCAUACUUGUACACACAUGUUGAUCAUUCUAAGUUCUAACUAAUACAGUGGAGUUUAUUACAUACUUUUUGAAUUGAGCUAAUUAACUGUUACUGAUUUAUAGUCUCGGAUAGACUUUAAAUAUAAUUGUAGGAGAAAUAGAGAGAGAAAAAGAAGAUAGAUUAGAGAAAAAGUUUUAAUUCAUUUUCAUUCAUACCUAACAAUAACUCACAUUCAGCUAUUUAAAAUAAAGAAAAUACAAGAUAACAUGAGAAUGCAUUUAAACCAUU
This 922-nucleotide long non-coding RNA is filed under the name Panax ginseng (ginseng). RNAcentral's name for it is "long non-coding RNA (PGIN_LNC010715)". The record is from RNAcentral. Lineage: Eukaryota; Viridiplantae; Streptophyta; Magnoliopsida; Apiales; Araliaceae.